Long non-coding RNA from Herpailurus yagouaroundi (jaguarundi), 3619 nucleotides. RefSeq lists it as uncharacterized. The transcript has 2 exons. Lineage: Eukaryota; Metazoa; Chordata; Mammalia; Carnivora; Felidae. The record is from RefSeq and is a predicted model, not a curated record.
UUUAUUUGAAACCUUCUUCCUUAGAAAAUUUUAGAGCCACUAUUCUUAGCAUGUGAAACUUUUUCAUCCCUUUGCUCAUUACUUUUUUUUUUUUUCCCUUGACAGUGAGAGAGAGGAGCCUAUUCUUUCAAAUGUGACUAAAAACAAAACAAAACUCUCAAGGUUCAUGAGCAAUCAGUCCUGUUGAAAAAGACCUGAUGUGAGAUGGUGGUUAUCUUUGUGCCUGGCCUAAGACUCCUUUUGGCAGUUGACUUGGACAGAUACAAAUAAGACAUGUUUUUGCAAUUUCUCCUUUUUAAAUUCCUGGGCAGUAGUUCAAUUUAUUUUGCUCCUUUGCUGGGAAUUACAAGCUUCUAAGUCCUAGAGAAGAUCUCACAUGUCCACAGAUGUAGCAACAAUAUAUUUCCCAAAGGAUUAAUUUUAGUCAAAUAUGGCAGAAUUACUAACAAAAUAUAUCUAAUUCCAUUCAGUAGAACUUAUUUCAAACAUUAGUUUUUCACUGCAGCCAAAUGUUUUGUCCAGCGUUCAGGAUUUGUUUUAAAGGUUAUAUUUCUUAAAGGGAUUUGUUCCAUUGAGUGCCAGACAUCAGGUGGGGAAAGGAGAAUGAAUGAAAGGAAAGCAAAGGAGGAAUGUUCUGUCGUAAAAUUAAGUAGCAAAAGCUGUGUAUGUAGCCUUUUCUUAGCCUGGUGUACUUUAUUGGUCUCUGAGAAGUCAGAAAGAGGCAGGAUAAUUUUAUUAACCCACUGAUAUUUGUUAACUUUUAAAUAAGAUCCAUGACUACAAGAAAACAAGUUUAAGGUAGUUGAACAUAUUUAGACCACCUAGUUAAGGUUUAAUUCUGUGAUUGCUCUUAUGUGUGAGGGAUCUUUGAUCGGGUUCAUUUUAAAACAGUGGUUCUCAGUCUGGGCUGCAGAUUGGAACCACCUGGGGGCUAUAAAAUUUACUCGUUACUAGGAAGGGGGGUUGGGGAAAGGAAGGAAUAUUGGGAUAUCUGUGGAUAUUGCCUGGAGAAUCACAGUUUUUGAAAGUUGUGGCAUUAAACUCUAAGCCCCAGGCAAUUGUUUUCCCCCCACUCCUUCCUCCCACUACCACCAGGCCUGUUGUAAAGGAGGAUAUUUGACAGUCCCCACUGGGCUCAGCUUUGGAGUUUCAUGAGUAAGGCUCCAAGUUUCAUUAGUGGGAUCUUGGCUUUUGAAACCUCAAAUCUCAAGAAAAAAAUCCAAUAAUUUUAUUUACCAGAUGCCAUGUGUUUUAGGCAAAGGUUCUUAUUUUUCUGUAACACAGCUUUGGGUGAUAAAGCCUGGAUUCAGUAUGACAGUUCCGUGACUUUCAGUGAAAAUGUUAAAAUUGUAAGAAAAUUUCUAGCUAUAGUUGUCUGAACAUCAGGCAUUCAUAAUGUUCCAGAAUACAGUUCUUAAAUCUGAAAGUGAGCCAAAAAAGGUCUGCACUCCAGAAAUAGCUGACCCAGAAGAACUUUGAAAUUUAGUUCUUGGGCUCUUAGAUAGUUAUUAACAUACACAUUUUGACAGUUUCUGCUUUCUGUGGCUCACAGGAAAAAUUGGGAAAUGGGCUAGGGAAAAUGUAGGCAAAGUGAUACCAAUGAGUAAGGCUGUAGAUGUCAAAAAAAGGUCAAAUAAUUUUGAGUUUAAAAAUGACAGCAUGCACAUUCGUGACAAAUUUCCAUUAAUAAUGGUUACUCUGUAGGCGGUUUUACUGUAUGGCACAGCAGAUAGAUUCUGGAGUCAGAUAAACUUUAGAUCACUGUGACCUCUGGUCUGGCAGCUUGCUUAAUUGUUCUUUGUCUUGGUUUGCUCUUUGGGGAUAAUAAUAGCACUUAACUUUUGGCAUUGUGAUGAGAUUAACUGACCUAAUAUAUUUGCCAAAGGAAAAAAAAAGUUAGUUGCUUUCAUUAUAUAACAGUUCCAGUAAUUGUGCAGUUGCUAGAUGCAUGUCCUUAACUACCAUUCCUUUCUCUUCUGAUGGUGUAUUCUCUGGAAAACCUUACUUAACAUUUUUGUUUGGAGCCCCUGAAAUGUAAAAUUUUUUGCAAUAUUUAAAAAUUCUGUGAUACAUAAAAAUGUGAAUUUCUGGUUUCUCUCUCAAAAUGGGAAAUUUGGGCAACAUUGGCCUGACAUACUUGCACGGCAAUAUUCUGUGGAGCCAGGGUGUACAUGCCUCCCCGAGAGGGAGAAUGUGUAUGUCUAUCUGUCUGCCUCCGUCCUUAGUCAUGCUUCUUCGUGCCUGUCGGUCACUUGUUCCACAUUUAGUUCUCCCUCUGUUCUUUUCUUUGCCUUUGGGUAAUGUGGCUUUUAGGAAGAGUGUCCUGCAAGAAGCAAGUCCAGUGACAUUUGAGUCCCUUAGAUAGCCUAGGUGUGAAGUCUUGGGCUUCUCUCCUUGCUGACCUGGGAGUGGAGCCUUGUGGGUGACUUAAUGACCAAAUUAGGACUUAUUUUUAGCCUGUGUGUGUGUUAGUAUCUGAAUUCUGUCAUGACAAAGGUGUCUUUACUGCUAAAGCAGUUUAUUUUAAAAUGUGGAAGGUUGAUGCUUUUCCCUUUUAGACUUGUCGAUAGUGAUGGAUGAAAACAUGAAAAUGUUUCUUAGCAAACUUGCUUAAAUGCAGAAGUUAAAAUUAGCUUCUGCAAUAGGAGUCUGUAAAACUCCGAGACGGAAAAGCCUUGCUAACUGGAGUCAUGCUGCAGACUUUUCUUACCUUGGCACUUGCUAAGACUGAGGCGGGGUGGGGAGGGGGGUGGUGGGAGAAGGGGAAGGUAGCACUGAAUUUUUGAUUUUCAGUUGGCAGGUAUUAAGAAUGCUUGGCAUUUGGUCACUUGAACAUUAAAUUCAGUUGUAGAGGUAACCAGAGUGUUGCUGUUUGUAGAACUGAAGUUGGUGGAGGAAUCCAGAUUGUAUUCCUAACCUGUAGUAAAUGUGAGCUUCAACACCUUAAUUACUGCGUGGUACUCAGCUUUUGGUAGGCGAUCGAAUUUUGUUGAAUGAAUGAGUAUCUGGAGGAAGACAGUUCAAGGGUCUGCAAACUACUGUCUGACCCAUGGCGGGUUUUGAUAUAGCCUGAGAGCGAAGAAUGGUUUUUAUGUUUUUUAAAGGAUAAUAUUCAAAAACUAUUCAGAGACAACAUUCCAAGAAUAUAUGAAAGACACCCCCCCCCCCGCCACUAUGGCCCAUAAAAGCAAACAUGGUUAUUAUCUUACUAUCUUACUUGAAAGGAAAGGUGUGCUGAUCCCUCCUCUAGGAGAUGGAGGGCUGUUGUCUGUCCCUGACUAAUCACUGUAGACGGUGGCAUCAUAUUGUGUUACCUGCUGACUAGGGCAGAGCUAAUGCCAGACACAUGAAGGCUUUUAAUAGAAAGCAAAGGUAUUACUAAUUAAGAAUAAUAAAAUCCAGACUGACUUUGUGUUUUAAGUCUUCCAAGAACUGUUUCUAUCAUGUCAUUGAGUCUGUACUAUAUGAUGUCACCAAAUUUUAGAAUGGAAAGAAAACUCUACAGUCCUCUUGUCCAGCCUUUCAUGAAUAAAGUAUGAAGAGGAAACAAAGGACUUCUCAAAAUGAAAUCUCUUUUUAGAAGAGCCUUUCCCAAACUGCUUUAUUUGAUGAUUUAAAA